UCAAACUUGGUCAUUUAGAGGAAGUAAAAGUCGUAACAAGGUCUCCGUUGGUGAACCAGCGGAGGGAUCAUUAUAGAGCCUAAAAACUCUCAAACCCACUGUUAAUUAUACCUUUUUUUGUUGCUUUGGCGGGCAGUCCCAGGGCGGGGCCUUGCCUGUAUUUUUGCAGGUGUCCGCCAAAAGCACCCCUAAAAUUCUUUUUUACGGCUGUCUGAGUUUUUAAAAAAAAGUCAAAACUUUCAACAAUGGAUCUCUUGGUUCUGGCAUCGAUGAAGAACGCAGC
RNAcentral lists this unclassified non-coding RNA (283 nucleotides) under uncultured fungus. Its description in RNAcentral is "partial contains small subunit ribosomal RNA, internal transcribed spacer 1, and 5.8S ribosomal RNA". The stretch from base 1 to 73 matches the Rfam family "Eukaryotic small subunit ribosomal RNA", at positions 1759 to 1831 of the family's 1831-position model. The record is from RNAcentral. Lineage: Eukaryota; Fungi.